RNAcentral lists this ribosomal RNA (460 nucleotides) under uncultured bacterium. RNAcentral's name for it is "partial 16S ribosomal RNA". It matches the Rfam family "Bacterial small subunit ribosomal RNA", at positions 338 to 795 of the family's 1533-position model. The record is from RNAcentral.
CCUACGGGUGGCAGCAGUGAGGAAUAUUGGUCAAUGGGCGCGAGCCUGAACCAGCCAAGUAGCGUGAAGGAUGACUGCCCUACGGGUUGUAAACCUCUUUUAUAAAGGAAUAAAGUGAGGCACGUGAGCCUUUUUGUAUGUACUUUAUGAAUAAGGAUCGGCUAACUACGUGCCAGCAGCAGCGGUAAUACGGAGGAUCCGAGCGUUAUCCGGAUUUAUUGGGGUUAAAGGGUGCGUAGAUGGGUUGUUAAGUCAGUUGUGAAAGUUUGAGGCUAAACCGUAAAAUUGCAUUUGAUACUGGCAGUCUUGAGUACAGGUGAGGUAGGCGGAAUUCGUGGUGUAGCGGUGAAAUGCUUAGAUAUCACGAAGAACUCCGAUUGCGAAGGCAGCUUACUAGACUGCCACUGACGUUGAUGCUCGAAAGUGUGGGUAUCAAACAGGAUUAGAUACCCGUGUAGUC